RNAcentral lists this ribosomal RNA (497 nucleotides) under uncultured bacterium. RNAcentral describes it as "partial 16S ribosomal RNA". It matches the Rfam family "Bacterial small subunit ribosomal RNA", at positions 28 to 507 of the family's 1533-position model. The record is from RNAcentral.
GAUGAACGCUGGCGGCGUGCCUAAUACAUGCAAGUCGAGCGAACGGACGAGAAGCUUGCUUCUCUGAUGUUAGCGGCGGACGGGUGAGUAACACGUGGAUAACCUACCUAUAAGACUGGGAUAACUUCGGGAAACCGGAGCUAAUACCGGAUAAUAUUUUGAACCGCAUGGUUCAAAAGUGAAAGACGGUCUUGCUGUCACUUAUCGAUGGAUCCGCGCUGCAUUAGCUAGUUGGUAAGGUAACGGCCUACCAAGGCAACGAUGCAUAGCCGACCUGAGAGGGUGAUCGGCCACACUGGAACUGAGACACGGUCCAGACUCCUACGGGAGGCAGCAGUAGGGAAUCUUCCGCAAUGGGCGAAAGCCUGACGGAGCAACGCCGCGUGAGUGAUGAAGGUCUUCGGAUCGUAAAACUCUGUUAUUAGGGAAGAACAUAUGUGUAAGUAACUGUGCACAUCUUGACGGUACCUAAUCAGAAAGCCACGGCUAACUACGUG